RNAcentral lists this ribosomal RNA (117 nucleotides) under Gemmatimonadota bacterium. The record is from RNAcentral. Lineage: Bacteria; Pseudomonadati; Gemmatimonadota.
UCCGGUGGCAAUAGCGGAGGGGCCACACCCGUUCCCAUCUCGAACACGGAAGUUAAGCCCUCCAGCGCCGAUGGUACUGCUCGGGCGACCGUGUGGGAGAGUAGGACGCCGCCGGGA